This 1477-nucleotide ribosomal RNA is filed under the name Pseudomonas sp. CFBP13528. RNAcentral's name for it is "partial 23S ribosomal RNA". It matches the Rfam family "Bacterial large subunit ribosomal RNA", at positions 1 to 1527 of the family's 2925-position model. The record is from RNAcentral. Lineage: Bacteria; Pseudomonadati; Pseudomonadota; Gammaproteobacteria; Pseudomonadales; Pseudomonadaceae.
GUUAUAUGGUCAAGUGAAGAAGCGCAUACGGUGGAUGCCUUGGCAGUCAGAGGCGAUGAAAGACGUGGUAGCCUGCGAAAAGCUUCGGGGAGUCGGCAAACAGACUUUGAUCCGGAGAUGUCUGAAUGGGGGAACCCAGCCAUCAUAAGAUGGUUAUCUUACGCUGAAUACAUAGGCGUAAGAGGCGAACCAGGGGAACUGAAACAUCUAAGUACCCUGAGGAAAAGAAAUCAACCGAGAUUCCCUUAGUAGUGGCGAGCGAACGGGGACUAGCCCUUAAGUGGCUUUGAGAUUAGCGGAACGCUCUGGAAAGUGCGGCCAUAGUGGGUGAUAGCCCUGUACGCGAAAAUCUCUUAGUCAUGAAAUCGAGUAGGACGGAGCACGAGAAACUUUGUCUGAAUAUGGGGGGACCAUCCUCCAAGGCUAAAUACUACUGACUGACCGAUAGUGAACUAGUACCGUGAGGGAAAGGCGAAAAGAACCCCGGAGAGGGGAGUGAAAUAGAUCCUGAAACCGUAUGCGUACAAGCAGUGGGAGCCCACUUUGUUGGGUGACUGCGUACCUUUUGUAUAAUGGGUCAGCGACUUAUUUUCAGUGGCGAGCUUAACCGAAUAGGGGAGGCGUAGCGAAAGCGAGUCUUAAUAGGGCGUCUAGUCGCUGGGAAUAGACCCGAAACCGGGCGAUCUAUCCAUGGGCAGGUUGAAGGUUGGGUAACACUAACUGGAGGACCGAACCGACUACCGUUGAAAAGUUAGCGGAUGACCUGUGGAUCGGAGUGAAAGGCUAAUCAAGCUCGGAGAUAGCUGGUUCUCCUCGAAAGCUAUUUAGGUAGCGCCUCAUGUAUCACUGUAGGGGGUAGAGCACUGUUUCGGCUAGGGGGUCAUCCCGACUUACCAAACCGAUGCAAACUCCGAAUACCUACAAGUGCCGAGCAUGGGAGACACACGGCGGGUGCUAACGUCCGUCGUGAAAAGGGAAACAACCCAGACCGUCAGCUAAGGUCCCAAAGUUAUGGUUAAGUGGGAAACGAUGUGGGAAGGCUUAGACAGCUAGGAGGUUGGCUUAGAAGCAGCCACCCUUUAAAGAAAGCGUAAUAGCUCACUAGUCGAGUCGGCCUGCGCGGAAGAUGUAACGGGGCUCAAACCAUACACCGAAGCUACGGGUAUCACGCAAGUGAUGCGGUAGAGGAGCGUUCUGUAAGCCUGUGAAGGUGAGUUGAGAAGCUUGCUGGAGGUAUCAGAAGUGCGAAUGCUGACAUGAGUAACGACAAUGGGUGUGAAAAACACCCACGCCGAAAGACCAAGGUUUCCUGCGCAACGUUAAUCGACGCAGGGUUAGUCGGUCCCUAAGGCGAGGCUGAAAAGCGUAGUCGAUGGAAAACAGGUUAAUAUUCCUGUACUUCUGGUUAUUGCGAUGGAGGGACGGAGAAGGCUAGGCCAGCUUGGCGUUGGUUGUCCAAGUUUAAGGUGGUAGGCUG